CAGUCGCCACGGUAAUACGUAGGUGGCAAGCGUUGUCCGGAAUUAUUGGGCGUAAAGCGCGCGCAGGUGGUUUAAUAAGUCUGAUGUGAAAGCCCACGGCUCAACCGUGGAGGGUCAUUGGAAACUGUUAAACUUGAGUGCAGGAGAGAAAAGUGGAAUUCCUAGUGUAGCGGUGAAAUGCGUAGAGAUUAGGAGGAACACCAGUGGCGAAGGCGGCUUUUUGGCCUGUAACUGACACUGAGGCGCGAAAGCGUGGGGAGCAAACAGGAUUAGAUACCCCGGUAGUCCCUGUCUCUUAUAC
This 301-nucleotide ribosomal RNA is filed under the name uncultured bacterium. Its description in RNAcentral is "partial 16S ribosomal RNA". It matches the Rfam family "Bacterial small subunit ribosomal RNA", at positions 509 to 807 of the family's 1533-position model. The record is from RNAcentral.